This 1554-nucleotide ribosomal RNA is filed under the name Salmonella enterica subsp. enterica serovar Apapa str. SA20060561. Its description in RNAcentral is "bacterial SSU rRNA". It matches the Rfam family "Bacterial small subunit ribosomal RNA". Lineage: Bacteria; Pseudomonadati; Pseudomonadota; Gammaproteobacteria; Enterobacterales; Enterobacteriaceae. The record is from RNAcentral.
UUAAAUUGAAGAGUUUGAUCAUGGCUCAGAUUGAACGCUGGCGGCAGGCCUAACACAUGCAAGUCGAACGGUAACAGGAAGCAGCUUGCUGCUUUGCUGACGAGUGGCGGACGGGUGAGUAAUGUCUGGGAAACUGCCUGAUGGAGGGGGAUAACUACUGGAAACGGUGGCUAAUACCGCAUAACGUCGCAAGACCAAAGAGGGGGACCUUCGGGCCUCUUGCCAUCAGAUGUGCCCAGAUGGGAUUAGCUAGUUGGUGAGGUAACGGCUCACCAAGGCGACGAUCCCUAGCUGGUCUGAGAGGAUGACCAGCCACACUGGAACUGAGACACGGUCCAGACUCCUACGGGAGGCAGCAGUGGGGAAUAUUGCACAAUGGGCGCAAGCCUGAUGCAGCCAUGCCGCGUGUAUGAAGAAGGCCUUCGGGUUGUAAAGUACUUUCAGCGGGGAGGAAGGUGUUGUGGUUAAUAACCGCAGCAAUUGACGUUACCCGCAGAAGAAGCACCGGCUAACUCCGUGCCAGCAGCCGCGGUAAUACGGAGGGUGCAAGCGUUAAUCGGAAUUACUGGGCGUAAAGCGCACGCAGGCGGUCUGUCAAGUCGGAUGUGAAAUCCCCGGGCUCAACCUGGGAACUGCAUUCGAAACUGGCAGGCUUGAGUCUUGUAGAGGGGGGUAGAAUUCCAGGUGUAGCGGUGAAAUGCGUAGAGAUCUGGAGGAAUACCGGUGGCGAAGGCGGCCCCCUGGACAAAGACUGACGCUCAGGUGCGAAAGCGUGGGGAGCAAACAGGAUUAGAUACCCUGGUAGUCCACGCCGUAAACGAUGUCUACUUGGAGGUUGUGCCCUUGAGGCGUGGCUUCCGGAGCUAACGCGUUAAGUAGACCGCCUGGGGAGUACGGCCGCAAGGUUAAAACUCAAAUGAAUUGACGGGGGCCCGCACAAGCGGUGGAGCAUGUGGUUUAAUUCGAUGCAACGCGAAGAACCUUACCUGGUCUUGACAUCCACAGAACUUUCCAGAGAUGGAUUGGUGCCUUCGGGAACUGUGAGACAGGUGCUGCAUGGCUGUCGUCAGCUCGUGUUGUGAAAUGUUGGGUUAAGUCCCGCAACGAGCGCAACCCUUAUCCUUUGUUGCCAGCGAUUCGGUCGGGAACUCAAAGGAGACUGCCAGUGAUAAACUGGAGGAAGGUGGGGAUGACGUCAAGUCAUCAUGGCCCUUACGACCAGGGCUACACACGUGCUACAAUGGCGCAUACAAAGAGAAGCGACCUCGCGAGAGCAAGCGGACCUCAUAAAGUGCGUCGUAGUCCGGAUUGGAGUCUGCAACUCGACUCCAUGAAGUCGGAAUCGCUAGUAAUCGUGGAUCAGAAUGCCACGGUGAAUACGUUCCCGGGCCUUGUACACACCGCCCGUCACACCAUGGGAGUGGGUUGCAAAAGAAGUAGGUAGCUUAACCUUCGGGAGGGCGCUUACCACUUUGUGAUUCAUGACUGGGGUGAAGUCGUAACAAGGUAACCGUAGGGGAACCUGCGGUUGGAUCACCUCCUUACCUUAAAGAA